GAUGAACGCUGGCGGCGUGCCUAACACAUGCAAGUCGAGCGGGGAGGAGGAAGCUUGCUUCCGAAUCCUAGCGGCGGACGGGUGAGUAACGCGUGAGCAACCUGCCUCUUACAGGGGGAUAACGCAUCGAAAGAUGUGCUAAUACCGCGUAAGACCACGGUACCGCAUGGUACAGGGGUCAAAGGAGCAAUCCGGUAAGAGAUGGGCUCGCGUCCGAUUAGCUAGUUGGUGAGAUAAAAGCCCACCAAGGCGACGAUCGGUAGCCGACCUGAGAGGGUGAUCGGCCACAUUGGAACUGAGAUACGGUCCAGACUCCUACGGAGGCAGCAGUGGGGAAUAUUGGGCAAUGGGGGAAACCCUGACCCAGCAACGCCGCGUGAAGGAAGAAAGGG
This 392-nucleotide ribosomal RNA is filed under the name uncultured bacterium. Its description in RNAcentral is "bacterial SSU rRNA". It matches the Rfam family "Bacterial small subunit ribosomal RNA", at positions 28 to 416 of the family's 1533-position model. The record is from RNAcentral.